Meriones unguiculatus (Mongolian gerbil) is the source of this 2868-nucleotide long non-coding RNA. RefSeq lists it as uncharacterized. The record is from RefSeq and is a predicted model, not a curated record. Lineage: Eukaryota; Metazoa; Chordata; Mammalia; Rodentia; Muridae. The transcript has 4 exons.
GCUGCAGGCUGUGGUGAAAUGUGGAGGUGGGAACUGGGGAGGGGGGGAGGUUUGCUAAACAGCCUAUGCUUCCGAGAGCUAGCGAAUCACAGGUGCCCUAACCUCCCUCUGGAGCAGAUGGGUUCCACAUACUCGGGCCUCCUUGCCAGAGUGAGUGGCCUCUCAGCAUAGGCUGGCCAUGACAAGGAACCGCAGCUAGGGGAUACCGAGCAGCAGGGGAGAGAGCUGGAAACGCCAGGAGAUUAUGCCAAGCGUGAGAGCCAGCAUGGAGGCAUUGCCAACCCUCGGGUAUACACCGGCACUGAGGAACAGUUGAACCUCAUAGACCUACAGCAAGGAGAGGGUCCUCACCAGACACCAGAUCUGCUAGCACUGGUGAGCUUCAAAUUCCCACCCUCCAGAACAGGAAGUAAAACAUCUUUGCUCUUUAAAUCCCACCCUGGCCUAAGGUGUUUUGUUACGGAAGCUAGAAUGGACUAUGACAAGUCCUGAGUCACAAGCCAGUGGUUGGCAAAGCCAAAGAGAAAGGAAGAUGAAGCCAGUAUUUGUGAACCAGGAGCUCACUCGCUGGAGCCUGCCUCCAGGAAUGGUGGGAGGGCAUCUGGAAGGUCACGUGUCUCAGUUUGGACUAUGCUUCCUAAGAGCUAAAAAACACAGCAGAUCACAAGUCCCGAGAUGGACCAGGAAGGCCGUUCAGUGAGAUUUUGUGCAGUAAACAUUGGCACUAUGGUUAGUGUUUUACACAAGCCAUCAGCUCCCUUACUCCUCCCGAUACCCUUGAGAGAUCAGUCAGGGAAGCUGAACACUGGAGGCUCAAGAAGCUUGACUGAAUUUUGCAGCUAAUAAGUGGAGUGGCUGAUGUCUGAGUCCGUGUUUCGUGUUUCAGAGUCUAGUUGUGAAGCUGCAGUUUUUGUCCAUGGUGAGACUUUAUUCUAUUCUUGACCAAACCCGACUCAACUUCCAGGCCCGAGUCCAGUCCUCCCAAGCCAUACAGGUUCUGCGGCUGAGCCGAGAGAUGGAGCCUCAUUUGUGUUUCAGGGGCUGAGUUGCCACACUGCCCUGGAUGGGGAUGGGGGAGACCUCUUCUGAUGACUCUUCAGAACUGUGUCUGAUGGUCUGUUACCUCCUUCCGUGCAGAGAGCUGCUCUUGGGAAGGUGGAUAGGAUCUUUGGAACCUCCCCCAACGUGAUCUGAAGUCUGGUUGCACACGCCAGUCGUCAAGCUCAAGGUCAAGGAAACAGGGGAUGCUCCAACCCGACCAGGUUGACUUUCUUCUGUGGUUGAAAAUCUGGAUCUAGAUGUAAUUCCAACUGAGAAAAGCCUGCUGGAAGGUGCGACAAGGUAGACCCACUGGGAAGCACGUGUUCCAAAGGAGUGUAGGGAAAAGCUCACUUGGAAGUGCGUGUCCCUUAAAGAAGGAGGAGGGGAGAAGAAAGAAAAGGAAAAAAAAGAUAUUUUCCGUGCCCGCUCUUCAUGUGAAACUGAACCCACCCUCACCGUGCUCUGUCCAAGCCGACCAAGAAAGAGUCGGUGUUUUCUGCUCCUCUAUAUUUGUUUAUUCCCUUUUGCACUAACCGUGUAACUUGGUGCCUUGCACAUAAGCCACAGAAUAGUUGGGCCUUCUUCAGGGUGCUAGGAAAUUUCCUACGUCAGAGGGACUUGCUGUCGAAGCUAAGGUCCCAGCAGGAGAAGCGAGAGACCGGAGACUCUCAGGGAGGAUUUUCAUUGCUUCAAGCCAGGAAGUGACACAUGUGUUUGCUGUGAACCUCAAGUGACUCAGAAGCUCCCCAAGUGUGACAUUCCUUCUUUGAACAGUGCCUCAGUAAGGCACUCAAACCCAAGAAUGUCCAUGGGAAACAAUCUCCAGCCACCAAACUCUCAUAGGAAGGAAGCACCAUCUGUGGAGCCAAAAAGUCAGAAAGAAAGAAGCAGAAGGGAAGAAGCAGAAAACGCCAAGGGAUGGGAGGACAGAGAGGGAGAGAGCCAGGCUGAGACCCAACCUCCCAGGAAUCAGAACAUGUGUGUGCAUGUGUGUAGUUUUAUUUCACUGGCUUCAGAGUACCUGGUGCUGUGCCUCUGAAUGGAAAAUGAGGCAGAAAAAAUGAGCUGAAAUUCACAGGCCUUUGAAAAGCAAUUGGUGUCAGCGUGCACCCUGCAUAUGUCAAGGAUUGCUUCUGACCAGAAAAGCCACCUCUGGCCCAGGUGGACCCCAUCAUAGCUGGUCGAAGACAGCAAGGCCUGCUGGGCUAUGACCUUUGGCUCUGCCUCUGUUCCCAGAAGGCUUGUGGGACUGUACCUUUACAAAGCACAUGCGUCUGGAAGAGGAAAACGAGGAAGAUAUUUGAUGAAUUACUCUUGACCGGGUAUACAUUUUUGAUGGCUUGGCCAGGCCAAGAUGGAUCUGUAGAUCUCGAUCCAAUUUGCCCAGGUAAAGGAAUGAGAAAUUCCUGACACGAUGUUAUUUAGGAGUGAAGCUACGCUAUUGCUGAGCACGCAAUGUCAGGCAUGAGGGCACAGUGCACUGCCAUUGACUCUCUAUAUGCUUUUGAUUUCAGCUGAUGGUACUGCUGUCCAGCCUCAAGCCAGAGAAAUCUGAAACAGUCCAUCCUUCUGCCCCUCUCUCAAACUCAAUGGGUCGUAUUCCUCCUAUGCUUUUGUGCAGGUAGCACCUGUGUGACAGCUUUUCCUCAUCGGGCUUAAUUCAUUCUUUGACUCUUCCAACUUUACCUGGUUCAAGAAACAAACAAACAAUAAACAAUGCAGUAAGGCAGAACCAAUCCAGAGGGCUGUUCUGAUUGACACAGGCACCAUGGUUGUGUGGCUGUGCAGCUCGAGAGACGAGACUCUGGGAAGAACAAGAUUAUAACC